Molecule: long non-coding RNA, 2252 nt
Organism: Musca domestica (house fly)
Lineage: Eukaryota; Metazoa; Arthropoda; Insecta; Diptera; Muscidae
Exons: 3
Source: RefSeq, a predicted model, not a curated record
AGCCGAUUACACACGAGUAAAAAAUGACAACGGUGGUGCAUGAUUCACACACGGUCGUUGUCAAUAUGACACCGGUCGUGUAUGAAUUAUGCACCACCACCUGCAUAAUGAUGCACCACCGUUGUUACUUUGUACACCGACGUGCAUGAAUCGUACACGAUCGUUGCCAUUUUAGCAACUACCGUGUAUGAAUCAUGCACCACCGUUGUCAUUUUUUUUACUCGUGUGCAAUCGGCUGCAUAUUUACCAUUUUUUCCGUGUUAUUGAAAGAGAAAGGACGCAUUGUGCAAAAAAUUUAUUGAAAAUGAAUAAUAAUUCGCAAGAUCCUCAAAAUAUCAUUGGUGAGUUGUUAGAAAUCGAUGGCAAUAUUGUUGUGGUUCGCGAUACAAACCAUUGCAGCAGUCAAGAUGCGGAAAACAAUGAGGACGAUUAUAUGUUAAGGGAGUUCUUAAAAGGAAUAAAUAUGGAGUCGCUUUUUGAACAAUUAAAAGGUAAGUAAAUAAAAAUGAAUUUUUCAGUUAAUCAGUGUAAUUAACAAAGAAUUUUCUUUUUUGUUCUUUUAGCAUCACAUGUAACAUUUCGCAGCUUGCAGUACUUGAAAAAAGAAGAUUUAAAGGAAGCAGUGCCACCAUUGGGACUGCGUGUUGAAUUCAGAGAAAAGCUCUUUGCUUGGAAAAAACGAAAGGUACGUAUUAUUUGUUUUACAGAGUUGAACUCAGUAUUAAUAUUGUCAUAACAAUAGCUCGGGAUUGAUGACGAAACUAUGUCAGUUCCAUCUAAAAUAGGUGAAUGGUGGAAACGCAACGAGACACCUGCAAGUACUCCUGGUACUCCCGACACUACAGGUUCGAACUGCUCAAAAGCCAAAGGAAUUUUGUCAGAGGUAAGGUAAGAGUAAUAUUUGUGUAAGCAUAGUUAAUGUAGUUUUUUUAUUUAAUAUAGGAUCUAACGGAAUUGUUAACACAUACCUCGAAGGGGAAACUAGCGCUUGAAUGUAGUAGCGUUAAUAAGAAAUUAAGUGACGAGCAAAGAGAUGAUAUAAUUAAUAUAAUUAUUGAAGAUAUUUUAACCAACAAUGUUACUCUUUACACUCAAGACUAUAUGCGCAUAUUGGAUGAAAUUUGUUCCGUUUUUCCUCUUGAAAACGAAAUGAGGGAUUAUUAUUACAUUUCAAGAAAAGGAAAGAACAACGCAAGCGGAAAACUUUAUGCCAAGUAUAGAAACAAGAAGUCCAAAAGAAUAAAGCUUUUGAUUUCCGAGCCUAGCACAAGCAAAGCAGCAACUCACACAUCUCCUAAUUUUUGUAACAAAGAUGUUCCCGAAAUUGAUGAAUCAGUUGAAAAUUCAUUGAAAGCUUCCUUACUAAGAGAAUGUAAUGAUUGGGGAUCGAUCUGCGAAAAAUGGAAAAGAUCUUUUAACAUACGGCAAAGAGAUAUAAAAAAUUUAAGUAGCCAUACAUUUCUCCUUGAAUGGACGAAGUUGUCCGAUGCAAGAGCUUCAGAAUUGGUAAGUAGCCAUGAGCUAUUUAUUUGUAUAUGGAUACUAAUGUUUCGUUUUAGGUCAACAUUGAUUUCGAUAUUAUGUAUCCACAGAAAGGCAAUCUUCUACUUUCUAAAUGGGACCAAUUUAAGAAAAAAAUUUACAAUUAUUAUGGGAAAAAUAUUCAUAACGAACAUUGCAAACAACUCUUCGCAAAUGUUUUGACGGCAAGCAGCAUAGAUGCUCAAGAUUAUAUAUACGCAAUACUGUUGAAUUCAGUUUUACCAUCACCUGCUAGGUUUAAAUGUGGAAACGGUAAAUUACGAAAAAAAGUAACAAUAGCUGAUUCGCAGGAAAGUUUCGUACUGCGACUACCGACAAUUAACGAUUAUAAAAGGCAAAUUGAUACAGUCACUGAAAAGUAUUACAAUGCUGGAUUAACUAUACAGCCAUUUAUAAUUGUGGAGGGUUUGUCCGAUUUCAAUAUAAAAGGUUUUUAUGUUUUUUUUAACCACAAUUUGUUAAAAUUUCAAUCGUUCCUCGAAUGUUUAGAUACAUGUUUUAAAAUUUUUCAUGCACUUUCUUUAAAAUAUCCAAAUGCCUGCCAAAUUCCAUGGAUUUUUAUCCAAAAAUAUUUUUAUGAAAUUAAUACUGUAUAUGAUAUAAAAUCAGUUAAUUUGACUUCACUUAUUAAUUUCUGCAACAAUAAUUAAAGUACAAUUCAAAAUGUAUAUUUGCUUUCGUUGCCGUAAGCAUUUUGAUAAGGCAAAUCU